AGCGGCGGACGGGUGAGUAACACGUGGGUAACCUGCCCAAGAGACUGGGAUAACACCUGGAAACAGAUGCUAAUGCCGGAUAACAACACUAGACGCAUGUCUAGAGUUUGAAAGAUGGUUCUGCUAUCACUCUUGGAUGGACCUGCGGUGCAUUAGCUAGUUGGUAAGGUAACGGCUUACCAAGGCAAUGAUGCAUAGCCGAGUUGAGAGACUGAUCGGCCACAUUGGGACUGAGACACGGCCCAAACUCCUACGGGAGGCAGCAGUAGGGAAUCUUCCACAAUGGACGAAAGUCUGAUGGAGCAACGCCGCGUGAGUGAAGAAGGGUUUCGGCUCGUAAAGCUCUGUUGGUAGUGAAGAAAGAUAGAGGUAGUAACUGGCCUUUAUUUGACGGUAAUUACUUAGAAAGUCACGGCUAACUACGUGCCAGCAGCCGCGGUAAUACGUAGGUGGCAAGCGUUGUCCGGAUUUAUUGGGCGUAAAGCGAGCGCAGGCGGUUCAAUAAGUCUGAUGUGAAAGCCUUCGGUUCAACCGGAGAAUUGCAUCAGAAUCUGUUGAACUUGAGUGCAGAAGAGGAGAGUGGAACUCCAUGUGUAGCGGUGGAAUGCGUAGAUAUAUGGAAGAACACCAGUGGCGAAGGCGGCUCUCUGGUCUGCAACUGACGCUGAGGCUCGAAAGCAUGGGUAGCGAACAGGAUUAGAUACCCUGGUAGUCCAUGCCGUAAACGAUGAGUGCUAAGUGU
This 742-nucleotide ribosomal RNA is filed under the name uncultured bacterium. Its description in RNAcentral is "bacterial SSU rRNA". It matches the Rfam family "Bacterial small subunit ribosomal RNA", at positions 94 to 823 of the family's 1533-position model. The record is from RNAcentral.